GGACUGUUCGGCAUCGUGCUCGGAUUGUCGGCAUGUCUGGGGCUCAAAGAUGUCCUGCGCGUCCCUUUUGUAUUCAAUCCGACUAUUGUCGUAAUCUCCUUCCUCUUCUCAGCCGCUGUAGGCGUGAUCUUCGGCUACUUCCCUGCGCUCAAGGCCGCAGGUCUCGACCCCAUCGAAGCCCUCCGCCACGAGUAAGAAAACAACGCCGGCCCCAGUUCGGAUUGUAGGCUGUCAACUCGCCUGCAUGAAGUUGGAAUCGCUAGUAAUCGCGUAUCAGCUAUGACGCGGUGAAUGUGUUCCUGAGCCUUGUACACACCGCCCGUCAAGUGAUGGGAGUUGGGAGUACCCGAAGUCGGGUUGCCAACCCUUCG
This 371-nucleotide ribosomal RNA is filed under the name Phycisphaerae bacterium. RNAcentral describes it as "bacterial SSU rRNA". It matches the Rfam family "Bacterial small subunit ribosomal RNA", at positions 1206 to 1445 of the family's 1533-position model. Lineage: Bacteria; Pseudomonadati; Planctomycetota; Phycisphaerae. The record is from RNAcentral.